Molecule: ribosomal RNA, 253 nt
Filed under: uncultured bacterium
Lineage: Bacteria
Description: partial 16S ribosomal RNA
Rfam family: Bacterial small subunit ribosomal RNA
Source: RNAcentral
UACAGAGGGUGCUAGCGUUGUUCGGAAUUACUGGGCGUAAAGGGCGCGUAGGCGGUUUCGCAUGUCCGAUGUGAAAGCCCACCUCUUAAAGGUGGAAUUGCAUCGGAAACUGCGAGACUAGAGUGCCGGAGAGGGUGGUGGAAUUCCUGGUGUAGAGGUGAAAUUCGUAGAUAUCAGGAGGAACACCGGUGGCGAAGGCGGCCACCUGGACGGUUACUGACGCUGAGGCGCGAAAGCGUGGGGAGCAAACAGG